AUAUAUAUCUAUGCAUAUAUAUCUAUGCAUAAGCAUAGAUAUAUAUAUGCUUAAUUAAACUUGCAGAAGUCAAAUCCAGCAGGUAAAUGAAUACCUCGAUAGCUUGGUAUGGAAGAUGGUGUUGGACCUCACCAAGAAUCAAUAAUUGCCCUAUCCUACAUCUAUGCUCCAAACUUCAACUACACAACUCAAGAAACGGACAGAGGAACUGCGCAGCAAUGUUCUCCCAGCAGCCUGACGUCAUUCUGCAUUGGUUGGAGUGAGACUGGGCAGAGCGUGGCUGACGCUGACAGGAAAGAGAUUAUGCAGGACUGACCAAAAUUCACAACGAGAAGGGGGUUGCCUACUACAAUGGGAAUUUCUCCAGACAAGUUAAAAAAACAAAGGCUUCAACAUCAGGUAACUUACAUGUAUAUUUAAUUUGAUAUAAGAAAACGAAUAGGGCCUGAUGAUGACUCUUUUUGUUUUAGAACAUUAAUAAAAAUAUUUCCACCAACAAACAUUUCAUAGGCAUUAUUCUUAUUUUAUUACAGAAGCUAUACAUUAUAAAAUCAAAGA
RNAcentral lists this long non-coding RNA (558 nucleotides) under Pongo abelii (Sumatran orangutan). Its description in RNAcentral is "lncRNA (ENSPPYG00000031230.1)". The record is from RNAcentral. Lineage: Eukaryota; Metazoa; Chordata; Mammalia; Primates; Hominidae.